RNAcentral lists this transfer RNA (76 nucleotides) under Armatimonadota bacterium. RNAcentral describes it as "Armatimonadetes bacterium (sediment metagenome) tRNA-Arg". It matches the Rfam family "tRNA". From Rfam's summary of the family: Transfer RNA (tRNA) molecules are approximately 80 nucleotides in length. RNAcentral also lists the same sequence under 1 other name. The record is from RNAcentral. Lineage: Bacteria; Bacillati; Armatimonadota.
GCGGACGUAGCUCAGUGGAUAGAGCACCAGUCUUCGGAACUGGGUGUCGGGGGUUCGAAUCCCUCCGUCCGCGCCA